Molecule: ribosomal RNA, 208 nt
Filed under: uncultured bacterium
Lineage: Bacteria
Description: partial 16S ribosomal RNA
Rfam family: Bacterial small subunit ribosomal RNA
Source: RNAcentral
CUCGUAGGUGGUUCGGUAAGUCGGAUGUGAAAUCUCCAGGCUCAACCUGGAGGGGUCAUUCGAUACUGCCGUGACUAGAGUUCGGUAGAGGAGUGUGGAAUUCCUGGUGGAGCGGUGAAAUGCGCAGAGAUCAGGAGGAACACCCGUAGCGAAGGCGGCACUCUGGGCCGAUACUGACACUGAGGAGCGAAAGCGUGGGAGCGAACGA